This 457-nucleotide ribosomal RNA is filed under the name Salmonella enterica. RNAcentral's name for it is "bacterial SSU rRNA". It matches the Rfam family "Bacterial small subunit ribosomal RNA", at positions 1 to 456 of the family's 1533-position model. Lineage: Bacteria; Pseudomonadati; Pseudomonadota; Gammaproteobacteria; Enterobacterales; Enterobacteriaceae. The record is from RNAcentral.
AAAUUGAAGAGUUUGAUCAUGGCUCAGAUUGAACGCUGGCGGCAGGCCUAACACAUGCAAGUCGAACGGUAGCACAGAGAGCUUGCUCUCGGGUGACGAGUGGCGGACGGGUGAGUAAUGUCUGGGAAACUGCCUGAUGGAGGGGGAUAACUACUGGAAACGGUGGCUAAUACCGCAUAACGUCGCAAGACCAAAGAGGGGGACCUUCGGGCCUCUUGCCAUCAGAUGUGCCCAGAUGGGAUUAGCUUGUUGGUGAGGUAACGGCUCACCAAGGCGACGAUCCCUAGCUGGUCUGAGAGGAUGACCAGCCACACUGGAACUGAGACACGGUCCAGACUCCUACGGGAGGCAGCAGUGGGGAAUAUUGCACAAUGGGCGCAAGCCUGAUGCAGCCAUGCCGCGUGUAUGAAGAAGGCCUUAGGGUUGUAAAGUACUUUCAGCGGGGAGGAAGGUGUUG